This 332-nucleotide ribosomal RNA is filed under the name uncultured bacterium. RNAcentral describes it as "partial 16S ribosomal RNA". It matches the Rfam family "Bacterial small subunit ribosomal RNA", at positions 338 to 667 of the family's 1533-position model. The record is from RNAcentral.
CCUACGUGUGGCAGCAGUGAGGAAUAUUGGUCAAUGGACGGAAGCCUGAACCAGCCAAGUAGCGUGCAGGAUGACGGCCCUAUGGGUUGUAAACUGCUUUUAUACGGGAAUAACGCGCCUUACGUGUAGGGCUUUGCAUGUACCGUAUGAAUAAGGACCGGCUAAUUCCGUGCCAGCAGCCGCGGUAAUACGGAGGGUCCGGGCGUUAUCCGGAUUUAUUGGGUUUAAAGGGAGCGUAGGCCGCAUGUCAAGCGUGCUGUGAAAUGUCCGGGCUCAACCCGGGCCUUGCAGUGGGAACUGGCGGGCUUGAGUUCGCGGAAAGCAGGCGGAAU